Molecule: ribosomal RNA, 38 nt
Filed under: Neodermoloma campestre
Lineage: Eukaryota; Fungi; Basidiomycota; Agaricomycetes; Agaricales; Tricholomataceae
Description: partial 25S large subunit ribosomal RNA
Source: RNAcentral
AAUUGACCUCAAAUCAGGUAGGAUUACCCGCUGAACUU